CCAACACACACACUCAGCUUUUCAGGUCUCAGAAAGUAUUUUGCUUUUUUAUAAUUUCAGUUUGUGUUUUUUACUUUUUUUUUUUUUUUUUUUUUUUUUUUUUUUUGUGGCGGGGAAAAAAGAAGAAGUGUAAUUUGGGUUUAGGGUUAAGAAGGGAUGGUAUUUGAUUACAUAUAUGUAGAGUUGAGUUUCCUUGUAAGUUGGUGUGUGGCUCUAUCUUGUACGGGUCUACUGGUUGCAUAAAGUGGAGAAAAAGCAUUUUGGCUAGAGGUGGCUGUGUCUCUAACUAGUUGUUUCUUUGUUUGGGGACCCUUUUAAUCUAUCAAAAGACCCUCUGCAUCUUUCCUUAUCCUCUCUUGUGGAUGAUCGAUAAGAGCAUUUCCAGCAGACUAGUUAAUUUGUUUUCGAGUAAAAAACCGAUCAAUCUUUUAUUUCACCUCGCAACAUUUAUUAGCUAAACUCCAUUUUUAUUAAGAAGCCUGUCUAUCUUUUGCUCGGGUUAAGAGCAUUUCUAGCAAACUAACUAAACUUCCUUUUGAGUUAGGAAUCAAUCGAUCUUUGGCUCAAGUUAAGAAUAUUUUUAACAAACUAGUUAAACUCUCUUUUGAGUCAGGAAUCGAUCGAUCUUUGACUCAUGUCAAGAGUAUUUUUAACACACUAGCUAAACUCUCUUUUGAGUGAGAAAUCAAUCGAUCUUUGACUCAUGUCAAGAGUAUAUCUAACAAACUAGUUAAAAUUCAUUAUAAAUAAACAAUCAUUCACUCUGAAAGUUUACUCAGAACGUCUCCAUAAAACUAACUAAACUUACUUGGAAGUCAAAACACUCCUUCCAUAAACUAGCUGUCAAUGGACUUAAAAUAACUGAAAUUAGUUAAAUCAAAUUUAUGAAAUUAAAUUAAAGGUACACAGAGUGUGUCAUCAAAUAGGAAUACCACCAUAUUUCGUUUCAUUACUUUUUUUUUUCUUUCUAUUUUUGGUGGUUAACAAUUAAGAAGAUUGUGGCAAGUAAAAGUGCAUUCGAAUAUAAAGUUGAGAAAUGUCAAGGGAACUAUUUUAAAAGUAAGAUUCUUUAUGAACUUUCUAUCAUCUCAUGUUUAAAACAUAAGGUUUUACAAUAUUAACACAUAAUUAACAUUAAACUGUAAAAUGUCAUAUAGUCCGUAAAGAGCCAUAUUUUUAAGAGUUCUGUUAGCAUUCCUCGUAUAAGGUUUGCAUGUCUUAAUCCAUCAGUUUUGACAUUGCACGCCAAAGCCCACGAAUUAUCUUCAUGGGAAGAAGCGAGGAUAAUAGUGUUGAUCACAUGGAUCCUAAAUUGUCCACUCCUAAGCCAUACCACAUAUUUGGCACGUCCAAACGCUUGCAUGUCAAUUGUUAGGUGGGAUUAGACGCCAAUCACAACUUAGAGGAAGACUACAAUCCUAGCUAUGCCAUAUGCCGUGCUAUUUCAUUUUGGACUUGUAUAUUUGUGUCCAUGGAACAACAUUAUACACUCCACUCUCGUGUCUUCAGACUACCAUAAUAUUUCUUCGCAAUAAUUCUAUUUGGACAUCCGAUCACGUUUAAUAAUGGUUAGCUAUAUUAUUGUAGAUAAGAGCUACGCAUGUUAUUUUCUUGUGGUUAAAUAGUACUACUCUUGUUAAACGACAAUGAAGAUCGGACAAUACUUUCCUCUUUCCCAGUAAGGAGGUAAGAUCUCCUUCCUCCUAACACGAUAUCAUUUCAUUACUGAUGUCAUAACCAGAACGGUUUAUUAUCUCUAUUAUACUUUAAAGAUCAUUUCCAGAAAAAUUCAUUUAAUUUGAAGAUUGUUUACUCAUUCAUCUUAAUCAAAGAAAUUGAAUUCAGAUUCUUUGCUACUGUCAAAACAGGACUAGUAUUUUAGGAUUUUUUGAUAUUUUAUUAUUUGUUUAAUUCCUUUCCAAUUUCAAUUCUUAAGGUUUCCAGGGUUAAGUUACAUAAUAAAUAUGUCAUAUUGGCCUUAGGUUUGUAUUCAUUCAUAAUAUUAUCAAUUAGAAUUAGAGAUAUCUCUAUUUUCUGGUGGAUUCUGGAUUGUUAAUAGACUUCAGUUUAUUCGCUAGUAAAUUAUAGCAUGAAAUUUUGUAACAUCCCACAUCACACAUGGAAGUGGAUCUUGUAAGCCUUAUAUGUAUAUUCUCAUAUCUACCUAGCACGAGGUCUUUUGGGAGCUCACUGGCUUCGGGUUCCAUCGGAACUCCAAAGUUAAGCGAGUUCGCGCGAGAGCAAUCCUUGGAUUUGUGACCCACUGAGAAGUUCUCAUAUGAGUUCCCAGAAACAAAACUGUGAGGGUGUGGUCGAGGCCCAAAGCGGACAAUAUCGUGAUACGGUGGAGUCGAGCCCGGGAUAUGGUGUGGUCCGUGCCAGGAUGUGACAAAUUUCGUUCAAUUUCUCUUGUUAUAUAUCUAGUUGCGUCAGUUCAACACGAGGAUGCUACUUAUUAAAUCGAUUUGUUUUACACAUAUGAAUGGUCAUAUGAACUCUAAUUCAAAUUAAUUUGUAAGGAAUGAGUAUUAGAAGAUGGUAAAGGAAAUCAACAAUUUCAAUGAUGAUGUUUACACGAUAAAGCGAUGACGCGAUAGAAAAAUGAGGAAAGUAUUGUUCGUGAAAAUAUUAUGCACACACAUAUGGAAGUUGUUAAUCCUAUAUUAUAUUAUUUGUAACACAAACGAAUUGAACUACACUUUCAUACUUGCGAAGAUUAGUUGGAGAAAUAUUGUUGAGGUUAUCAAAAGAAGUGCUUUGAGGCUUUUGGAAUAUACUGGCAUUGAGUUUUACCUUUCUGCUGUUUACGCCUAGCUAAAAGUAGAAAAGCACUCUCUCUUUUUCUUUCUACGAUGCUAACCAAACGCUGUCUUAUUAUUCUCUCUUAAAAAAUAAGGAGAAAUGCUUAGGAAACUUUUUUAGAGCAAGAUUCUUUGUGGAUUCUCUGACUUUAACAUCAAUUUCAUAUCAAUAUUAUAAAACAUAAUACUAAAAACAUAGGGGGUGUAGAUUCAAUAAAGAGUCUAGAGUCUCUUUACCAUUUCUCAAAGAAAUGGUUUUCAUGCCAGACAGGUAGUAUAGUAAAGUUUUGAUGAUACAGAGAACAUUUUAAUCCAUGGGAUAAUAUUGUUUAAAAUAGUUCAUUAUGUGAAUACCUUUAAAGGUAACAGAUUAAUUUAUGUUAAAUACUGACGUUCUAACAUAUGAUUGGCUUUGAAAUUAACUUGGGAGAUGAAAUCAAAUUAAUUAAAUAAAUAAUAUAAUGGAAAAUUAAACCCUGGAAGUGAUGAAAUCUCAGAAGCAUGCUUUGAAGUUAAUGAUGAGGACCAUGGGGGCUUGGGGUUCACAAAGGAAUGAAAGCAAAGGGGGACAGAGAUCGACGUGAUAAUCUCACAACUCUCUUUGAAAUCCAAAACUCCAAACACCAUGCCUUCACUGCACGCACUGCAAUGGAGAUUUUUUGUUUUCUAAGUGCAAGAAGCUCUUGUAUUUACCAUCAGUUUUAACUCUUUCUCCAUGCAUUUGCUUUCGCCUUAUCUCUCACAAGAAGCAAACAACAACCCCCCAUUUUUCUUGAACUUGAAUCACAUAAAUUUCUUAAAUUCAUCAUUUCUUCACUCCCCAAAUUGCGUUCUCUAUUCGAUAAAUUAGCAAUUGGUGUCACAAAGACAAAAAAUGGAUUAAUCCUAAAUAUCGAAACUAGCUUCGGACAAGCUCACGAAGAAAAAAAUAGCUGACUUCUAUUAGUCAAGUUAACUGGAGCAGUAUUCUUUCUCUUUGUAUCUAAAUUCGAAUUUCCUACAAAUAAUUUGGGGUAAGUUAUAAUUUUGUGUUUGUCAAGAGAGAAUAAAAAUAAUAGAGAAACGAAAGAAUUGGUUUUCUCCUUUGGCAUGGUGUUUUUGUUGUUCUAUUCGACUAUUUUUCGUUUUAUAGAUGAUUUUGAUGUAAUGUUGAAGUUUACCAAAAUUUAUUUAUUUUUAUUAAAAAAAUGAAAGAAUUGACCAAACUCUGUAUUUUUGGGCAGAUUGAGUAAUGUUUUUGGCUUCCUAUGCAAAUCUCGUCUUGGUUCCAAAUCUUUGUGUGAUCAAACCAAGAAAUAUAUGAGAUUGGAAGUACCACUCAGCGUAGAGGGACAACGGAGUUUGUGAAAGAUCAUGCAUGUUUCUCUCCUUUUGAGUCAUGGACCUUUUUUUCUUCUUUUCAUCAAAGAAAUAAUGAGUAGUCAUGGAUAAAGCUGUUUGAUAACCAUUUUGUUUUCAGUUUUCAUUUUUUUGAAGAGGAUUAGUAAUGCUAUGAAUACUAAAUUUGUAGGUAAAAUUUUAUAAACUAAAUGAUAUGGAAGUUAAUGAUUGGAUUAUGACUUAAUUGUUGAUGAACGUGACUAUAAUAGGACACAUCCUUUGAUUUGCAAAUUUUGUCUUCCUAACGUUACUGUUUUAAAAAAAUGAAAACGGCGUACUUUCUUUAGAUUCAAAAUUUUAGCCUUUGAGUUUUCACUUUUCACUUUUUUGAAAACUGAAAGUAGUUAACAAACUAGAUGUUAAAUACUUUUAGUUUUCAAAAAAGUGAAAAUGAAAUGGUUAUCAAACGGCACCUAAAUUAAUUUUUUUUCACAAGCCACAUAAGAAUUAGAUUAGUUGGUCAAAUAGUAUGCUGUUUUGUUAAUCCAAAGUUUGAAUCAGCUUCCUUGUAGAUAAAAGUAGAAUAUCCCUUCGUCAAAACGAUCUUUUUUCACAAGAGUAAAUCAAGGAAUAGAUUAAGGAGACUGGUUUAGAAUUCGCCAUCCAAAUGGUGAAUGAAAUAAUGAGGUAAACAGUCAUCAAAACAUGAAUAGUGAAUAAACGUUAAUGCAGAUGACAUACUGAUUAGUAAGCAGAAAGAGCGGUCUGAUUAGGAUGGCGCAUGUUAAUUAGUUGGAAACUUGGGAAAGAUGGCAGACAGAAGCACAAGGCUAAAGCCUUAAUUAAGUGCAUAAACAAAUGUGAUUAAGUGCAAUGUUUGAAUUGGAGUCCUCGUGAGAGUUUAAGAAAACCUUUUUUGUGAGUGAAAGGCAAUAUUUAAGAGAUAAAGUCUGAUAAUAAAGCUCCUUUGGUGCAAGGCUGCAAUGCCAAAGAAGAAAAUAUUUAAAGUAAAUUGGUAUGGAUCCUUAUCGAUGGUGGACACUUCCAUUUUACCAAAGAGAAGAAAGAUGGUGGAUACAUUUCUAAUUAAGUGGCUUUAAUUUGUUGGAAAUUGGGACAUAUAUGUCAUGUGGAUUCACGUUGAACUUGUGGACGGCAAAAUUUGACUUUGGCUUAAGCUUUUAGGGUACUUAUAGGGAGACUAGGGAGAUUAAUUUAGGUAAAUGCAUACGUCGCUCAUCAUUACAUAAAAAUAAUUUUAUUUUAAUGGAUGAAAAAGCCUUAAAACACAGGCAUGUGUUUCACAAAAAGUCUCUGAAAAAAAAGCCAUUUGUCCAUCAAUUAUUUGCAAAAAAGAAACAAUUUUACAAAAUUGAAAGGGUAUGAAAUUAGUUUUUUCAGUGAUAGAUUACAUAUAUAUGUGUUUGGUAUUUGUAUAAAUUAAAGCCUCAUAAUUAGGGAAAGCAGGCAUAUAUCUCUUAUCUUUUGGACUAGUGGAUAAACAAAUCAACUAACACAGUGUUUUGCACUUUAAUUAGGGUUUGUCUAGGGCACCUACUAUUGCGUGAUCGCACCAUUAAGUGGAAAAAAAAUUCAUUGUGGAGGAACAUAGCCUAAUAUACUAAGUAUCACAAUACAAAUGAUUGGAGUUGUUUUUAUUCGAGUAUCAAAUUAUUUGUAUUAUAAUAUUUAAAUAUAUUAAAUUAUGUUCUCAGCACAUUAAAAAUCUCUCUAUCAAGCAGGGUUUGAUAAGUAGUUAACUAAAAACCUGUAGAAUAGAGGAUGCUUCGCUGGUACAUAUCCAUUGGGCCACAAAACUGAAGAUUGGUCCAUGUGUUUAGCCACCCAAAGGCCUCUGUGUAGAGGCUCGAGGCAAAGCGGCAAACCAACCUUGGAACCCAUUUUUCACCAAGGAAAUGAUUUAUGCACUAUCGUUUCUUUUCUUUGCAUUUUUUCUUUUGUUUUUGUCCUUCAAGUGUCUUUUGAUAUAUUCAAUCUAACAAUUUUUGAACAAACUGAAUCUAACAGUUAUAAUAAGAAAAGGGUGACGUGCGAGAAAAAGAAGGUGCAUAAACCGUUUUCAUUUCCAUUUACGUAUCUAUUUAGGAAUUAAUUAUUAAACCCUAAACUCUAACUCAUGAUUAUGUCUUGCAGUAGGGAGGACCUCUGCUCGUAUAUAUUUCCAGAUCUGUUCCUCACCCUGAUAAUACGAUUAUAAUAGCCACACUUAUACAAGAGGCCAUCACAUUCAUACCAAAUAAACACGAAAACAUGCACGCAUGCAAUUCAUCACUUUGCAAUAACCAUUCCCAAAAAAAACAGAAACAGUAACUCUCUAACCCUGCUUAAUUAAAAACCCUGCUAGACAAACGUACACAAUGUAGAAACUCAGAUAGUUUAAUGGGACAUCAACAUGGCAUAACUUGCAGGUAUACUGUCACUAGUACGUAAUGGCCAAUGCCAUAAUUCCGUAAAAUUCAUCCCUCGAAAUCUUCAGGGUGGCCUUUCGGUCCUUCUGUCUUAUUUCUAGGUUUCACCUAUAUAUAACCAAAUUCAGAAUUAAACCAGAGCUAGUACUGUCGAUUAAUUAUUGACUCUCUUAUUUCUACGUUCACCUUUUGUUUAAUUACUUUUAAAUAUUUGUUGGUCAAAUUGGAUUAAAAUUGAUCGAAUUAUACCAGAAGUGUGGUGGGUGCAAGUUCAACUGGAUGGGAUGCUGUUAGCUCCUUGAGUUGCAGCUGCAUCUUACUCAUGAAAUCCAUCGACUUUUCCUAAGUUUCCUCCGUUGCUUCUUUCAGUUUCACAUGUGCCGAGCAAUAUACUUCCUGGAGAGGCAUAUUAAUCCUAUCUCGUAGUUAUGCUGCUUUAGCUAUGGCGGUGGUCUCCUGUGGUAAACGGCGGCGGUUCCUCAUGGCACGUAUGAGGGUUAGGGUUUGUCCUUAUGCUGUUUGGUUGGACCAUUAAUGAAGCAUUUCAUUUCCUUUUCCGACCAAAGAUAUGAAAAGAUAUGUCUGCAAUUAUUUUGUUCAUUGCUAUACAUGCAGUGUGUAGCCAUUAAUUAAUUAAUUAUUACGUACGUACCUGAGCAUGCAUGCGAUGAGGUGCUCAGCAAUGAGAGCGAUGUAACGUAGAAAUGCAUAUGUGUGUGUGUGUGUGUGUGUGUGUGUAUGAGCUCCAUUUCUACACGCUUAAAGCUUCAAUGAUAGUACGUACAAAAUACAGGUGUGGUGGCCGGCUGAGGAAACAUAGAAAGCAUUUAAGACAAGAAGCGUAUCCAAAUGGAGAUGGAGAUAGCUAGGGUAGGCGUAGGCUUACUCUGAAUCUCUCUGAUUGCUUCAUCAAGUACGGAGGACGAAUAUAUGACAAAAACAGUUCCUGGGAGGCUGGGACGUCGUCUCUGGAGGAGUCAAGUGUGGAUCUAAUUUAUUCAGAUUCUGAUCACCCUGCAACUGCAAACACAGUUACUUACAGAGUCGUCUAUAUCUACACACACACACACACACACACACACACUCUUCUAUAUAGCUAGGCAACAGGGCAGGGGCCUGAAAUGCAAGGGAAGUAUUUGAAGCCAGCCCAGCAAAGCAUUGGGUUGGAUUUCAAGAAAUUGGCUUACGGUGGAACUUUUAUUUUUUACUUUGACAUUCUCUAUUGAAGAAAGCUAAAGUUCUGCCCAAAAUUAAUGAACAAGUAACGAACGGAGUAACCUAACUUUAGCUAUAUAAGUUCAUGCAAGGAUUUCGUUUAUCAAAAUAAUUUUACGUUAUAGACCAUAGACGUUCAUGAUUCCCCUCUAUACCCUGCUGUAAUGAUUCCUCUAGCAUUAUGAUUUUCACCACAAUAAUGGAUAGAAUUUUUUUAUAAAUAUGCAUGCUAUUUAGUAUUUUGAUUUAAGCUCAUAUCACUAUGAGAGUUUUCUGGUUCGACAAUAACGUGUUAGAUAAUCAAUAUCGAUUGUAUCGAAAAAGGUGAAAUGGUAGUCCAGUUGAAGCGUAAUGAAUAUACAUAUGUAAUCGUUGUGUCUUAUAUUCGUUCUGAUUCUCUUCUACCCUUAAUUUCUCGGGAGUUCCUGUUCAUAGCUAAUUAGCAUAAACAUAAAGGAGCAAUAUAUAUAACAUUUCCUGGGCAGGCAUGAAGGAGGAAUUAACUGAUGAAGCAUUGUUACAAAGUAGAUGCAAAUGUACAACCACGUUUAUUAUAAUCCAUUGUAUAUAACUUUUCCUGCAAAUUAAUGGGUACAUAAAUAAUACAAAGCAAGAAUCUAAGACAUGAAGAGCUUGCGACUUGACAUCAUACCCAGCAAGACAGAGAUGAAGUUAAAAAUCGUUCAAUCCUAAUUUAAGUACAUACAAUGGGAGUUUGUUAUACAUAUCUUAUCAACAGGAUUUUUCGGAGUAUUCUAUACUCCGGAGCACCAUGGAAAUUUAGAUCGUCAACAAACCAUCCCAACUUAUG
RNAcentral lists this long non-coding RNA (8576 nucleotides) under Malus domestica (apple). Its description in RNAcentral is "long non-coding RNA (MDOM_LNC006352)". Lineage: Eukaryota; Viridiplantae; Streptophyta; Magnoliopsida; Rosales; Rosaceae. The record is from RNAcentral.